Non-coding RNA from Ictidomys tridecemlineatus (thirteen-lined ground squirrel), 3315 nucleotides. NCBI's taxonomy places the organism in Eukaryota, Metazoa, Chordata, Mammalia, Rodentia, Sciuridae. The record is from RefSeq and is a predicted model, not a curated record.
UCCUUGUCCCCACCCCCUGACAUGUCCUAGUCAGGAGGGAAGCAGCUCCCUCGGUGCCCUGGCUGGGGCUGUACCUCGCAACAGCGGAUAGGGCCCGCGCCUUCCAACAAUCAAGUCACUUUUCUGUGCUUCAGUACCCACAUCUGCACAUCAGAGUCAUGAUAGUGCAUAUCUUAGAGGGUUGUGGUAAGGAUUCAAUGAGUUAAUAGAAUAGAACAUCCAGCAGGGUGCCUGCGUGCAGAGGGUCCUCGGUAGGUAUCACCCACCAUUUUUAUCACACGAGGAAUUCUAGAAAUCCUCCACACGAUAUAUUUUCCACACGUUCUCACCCUGAAAUUCUUCCUCUGCUUAUUUUUUUGGGAUGGUAGCACUUUCAAAACUCCUUUUCAGAAACAUGGGUCAGUACCUCACAACACAGCGUCGGGGUUAAGAACAGGGACUUGAGGUCUGGCUAGCUGGGUGACAGUCAGGUGGUUCUACAGCCUCUCUGAGCUUGACUUUCUUUUCUUUCGGUAAUGACAGACUCUGAAAGAUUCUUCACCACAGUGUGCAGCACAGCAUGGGGGCCGGUCCAGGGAGUCGACUCACCACACCAGGCCCCCACCCACGCCCACGAGGCUGGUCCUGGCUUGGACUCCAGAGGUGACUGUGCCCAUUAAGCCCCCUCCUAGGUUCACCUUUGCCUCAGUCCAGGUGAUUUCUGCGGAGUGCAUCGGGCAGAUCCCCAGCGCUAGUGGCUCUGGGACAUUUUCCACCUCCGCUCCCCAGGGAUUAAUUUCAGGCUGCACCCAAGGGGCCCAAGAAGAUCCCUCAUCUGGAGCUGCUUCGCUGGGGGCUGGAGCUUGGAGGAAGCAUAUUGCUUGAGUGCUUGGCUGUUGCCUGAGCAGGAGGAGGCAGCCCACCUGAACCUGCAGAGCCUUGAGGAGAUCACCCCAGGCACUCUUUCUACCUUCUGGAUGCCCAGGAGAUGAGAAUGUACCUGUGGAGAUCCAGGCCGGAGCUAGUGACUGGCCAGGCCUUCUGAUGCUACGGUGGAGAGAACUUGCCAAGCUGGUUUCAAGGCCUCUUUAGCAGCCAGAGUUGAAGGUACAGUGGGAAAAGUAUAGGCUUUGGGUCAACAGAUCAGGGACAGGAACAAAGGCCUGUUCAUUACCACAGAGGGGCAGAGGAGAGCCAGGCCCUGCUUGCAGCUCCCCCAAAGCCUCUCCAUUAGGUGUGCUGUUUCAUAGUGUGGUGUCCUGUGCAGGUUAUUGACCUCCCUAGGCCUCAGACUUCAUCUGUAAAUGGUCCAGUCUCACCUGCCACCCUGGGUUGGUUUGAUGACUCAGUUAGAAAAAGCUGACCCAAUCUGGCACACAGUAGGUGCUCAGUCUAUGAUGGUGACCUUUCCCCCCAACUUCCUUGGGGGCUGGAUUGGUGUUCUGAGGAUGAAGACCUAGGAAGUCUUUACCUAUGACUCACAAGGACAUGAGGCUGAGUGUGUGCAGUGUCCACGGCCCUCAAACCUGUACCUGCUGAUGGCUUGUCUGUUUGUGGUAGAAAUGUCUGGGAAUAUCGAGGGGGAAGAGGAAAUCUUAGGCCAGAGAAUGGGUACACCGCUUGUCGAGUGUCCCUUCAGGGCUCAGAAGAUAAGGGGAAGAUGACAUAGGAGAUGAAAGCCACGGAUUUGGGGAGCUUCCUGAUUUCCCCAUGAGGAAGAGGGAUCAAAGGAGUAAGAGGAGUCAUGUAAAGCAGAGUGAACCUGGAAAUUGAGUGAAACUUGCUGAUGAUGGUUUUGUAAAGGUCCAAAGCAGAGGCUUCUUAAUUCGAAUCCAAACUGAGAGCCCCACGCUCCCUGGAGGAGACGGUGUUGUCUCGGGUCUUCUCAGGGUCAGUCCUGGGUGGUGGAGCUCAGAGGCUGUUACCUGAGGGGAGGACUGGGUGGCUGGGGACAGGCAGCUGGGAAAGCCACAGGGCUCCUUUGCUUUCUGUGGAGCUUUCUGUGGAGCUGUCCGUGGUGCUGGCCAUCGUUCCCUCCUGGCACUGCCUGACUGGCCACCCCUGCCCCCUCCAACCUGAGGCUCUGCCAGACUUGUCACCGGCAGAGCUCCCACCCCAGUCCUCAGUGCUGAGGCCUGAGCAAGUACCAGUGCCUUCAGACAUCCCGAUCACUAACCCCAGCCUGCACCCAAUGCUGAUCUGAAGCCCAGCUCUACCCCUCAUCCCUUCCUCAAUCACUAGCAUCACUUCCAACCUCAACCCUAGUAUUGAUUUGAACUUGGGGUUGGGUACAGCACUGGCUUCUCCCUCCCUCAGCUCCCCUCUCUGGUCACUGUGAUCAUGGUUGAGCCUUUGUGGCAGGCACGGAGGGGUACAGAAGUAUGUCCUAUAUGAUUCUUUCUCUUGAGGACCUUGGCUGUGUGCUCCUCCUGCACUCGCUGGCAGACGGAGGAGCCCAGGCAUUAACAAUGGUCAGUGUCAGCAUAGGUAGCAUUCUCCCAGAAGAACGUCUUCAGAGGAAAUGCCACCAUCAUUUCCCAAAGGCAAAGGGAGUGGACUGCGGAGUGCACUAUGGAGUGCUUUGCAUUCUGCCACGGUUCUGCCCCUGCUGCGUGUCCAUGACUUCUGCAUCCCAGAGCCUUUGGGCCACUGUACAUGUAGCACAGGUGCGGGGAGGAAGAGAAGAGCUUCUCCUCUCCCAGGGACAAUAGAACAGAGGGGGACACAGUCCACCUUGUUUGUAUGUAAAAUUCUGAGGAGUCCUGACUAGUGCAGGAAGUAUCAGGCACAGAGUGCCCACCAUGGCAAGUCCCUCACAGAUCUCCACACCCUCACUGAACGGAGUGAGAAAGUCAAAGGUCCAGAGAGGUUAGGUGACUUGCCUCUGAUCACAACAAUAGUAGGUGGAAGAGUUAGGAACUGAAUAAAUCCUUCUGGCUGCCAGUCCUAGAAGCUGAAGAGGACCAAGGAGGAGACUUCCUGCAGGAGACCCGACAACCAACUGAAAAGUUCUCUGUGUUCCUCCUCCUGGGUCCACGGCUGCUGCUCUUCCACCCAUGGUGCUUGGGGUUUUCUGCCUGGCCAAAGGAGGUGGCCCUCAUCCUGUUUGCCCUUGAAGAAAGAGGACCUAGGAACAUGGCUUCCAAAACAGUGCUUGAGCUCUGGGGCCAGCCCUGAGGCCGCUGCGUGCCUUUCUGACCCGGCAACGGGUGAGACCCCCUUGCCACUCACCACCCAAUGUCUGAAAUUAGCAGCAGCCUAAUCUCUCCCUGCCAUAUCACUCAGUGGGGUAAUUGUGCAGGAAAAAAAAUGUAUUAAAAUGCAAAACACUCAGUU